ACCUGGGUGGCUCAGUCGGUUGAGCGUCUGACUUUGGCUCAGGUCAUGAUCUCACGGUCUGUGGGUUCGAGCCCCGCGUCGGGCU
RNAcentral lists this transfer RNA (85 nucleotides) under Felis catus (domestic cat). It matches the Rfam family "tRNA". From Rfam's summary of the family: Transfer RNA (tRNA) molecules are approximately 80 nucleotides in length. Their secondary structure includes four short double-helical elements and three loops (D, anti-codon, and T loops). Further hydrogen bonds mediate the characteristic L-shaped molecular structure. tRNAs have two regions of fundamental functional importance: the anti-codon, which is responsible for specific mRNA codon recognition, and the 3' end, to which the tRNAs corresponding amino acid is attached (by aminoacyl-tRNA synthetases). tRNAs cope with the degeneracy of the genetic code in two manners: having more than one tRNA (with a specific anti-codon) for a particular amino acid; and 'wobble' base-pairing, i.e. permitting non-standard base-pairing at the 3rd anti-codon position. The record is from Rfam by way of RNAcentral. Lineage: Eukaryota; Metazoa; Chordata; Mammalia; Carnivora; Felidae.